GAGUUUGAUCGUGGCUCAGAUUGAACGCUGGCGGCAUGCCUUACACAUGCAAGUCGAACGGCAGCAUGAUCUAGCUUGCUAGAUUGAUGGCGAGUGGCGAACGGGUGAGUAAUACAUCGGAACGUGCCCUGUAGUGGGGGAUAACUAGUCGAAAGAUUAGCUAAUACCGCAUACGACCUGAGGGUGAAAGUGGGGGACCGCAAGGCCUCAUGCUAUAGGAGCGGCCGAUGUCUGAUUAGCUAGUUGGCGGGGUAAAGGCCCGACCAAGGCGACGAUCAUAGCUGGUCUGAGAGGACGAGUCAGCCAUACUGGGGACUGAGACACGGCCCAGGACUCCUACGGGAGGCAGCAGUGGGGAAUUUUGGACAAUGGGCGAAAGCCUGAUCCAGCAAUGCGCGUGUGUGAAGAGGCCU
RNAcentral lists this ribosomal RNA (413 nucleotides) under uncultured microorganism. Its description in RNAcentral is "bacterial SSU rRNA". It matches the Rfam family "Bacterial small subunit ribosomal RNA", at positions 9 to 416 of the family's 1533-position model. The record is from RNAcentral.